This 912-nucleotide ribosomal RNA is filed under the name Xanthoparmelia exornata. Its description in RNAcentral is "eukaryotic LSU rRNA". It matches the Rfam family "Eukaryotic large subunit ribosomal RNA", at positions 71 to 942 of the family's 3401-position model. Lineage: Eukaryota; Fungi; Ascomycota; Lecanoromycetes; Lecanorales; Parmeliaceae. The record is from RNAcentral.
GGGAUUGCCUCAGUAACGGCGAGUGAAGCGGCAACAGCUCAAAUUUGAAAUCUGGCCCUUUUGGGGUCCGAAUUGUAAUUUGUAGAGAGUGCUUCGGGCGAGGCCUCGGUUUAAGUCCAUUGGAACAUGGUGUCAUAGAGGGUGAGAAUCCCGUAUGCGACCGUGGCUCGAGCCCAUGUGAAGCCUCUUCGACGAGUCGAGUUGUUUGGGAAUGCAGCUCAAAAUGGGUGGUAAAUUUCAUCUAAAGCUAAAUACUGGCUGGAGACCGAUAGCGCACAAGUAGAGUGAUCGAAAGAUGAAAAGCACUUUGGAAAGAGAGUCAAACAGUACGUGAAAUUGUUGAAAGGGAAGCGCUUGCAACCAGACCUGCCCGUAGGCGAUCAGCCGCUGUUCUCAGCGGUGUACUCGCUCUGCGAUCAGGCCAGCAUCGGUUUCGGCGGUCGGAUAAAGGCCUUGGGAAUGUAGCUUCCCUUCGGGGGAGUCUUAUAGCCCUCGGUGCAAUGCGGCCAGCCGGAACCGAGGACCGCGCUUCGGCUAGGAUGCUGGCGUAAUGGUUGUAAGCGACCCGUCUUGAAACACGGACCAAGGAGUCUAACAUCUAUGCGAGUGUUUGGGUGUCAAACCCAUGCGCGGAAUGAAAGUGAACGGAGGUGAGAACCCUUAAGGGCGCAUCAUCGACCGAUCCAGAUGUCUUCGGAUGGAUUUGAGUAUGAGCAUAGCUGUUGGGACCCGAAAGGUAUGUUUAAUUCCCCUAAAAUUACAGUAAGAAUCAUAUGCUAACUUUUCCAAAAGAUGGUGAACUAUGCCUGAAUAGGGUGAAGCCAGAGGAAACUCUGGUGGAGGCUCGCAGCGGUUCUGACGUGCAAAUCGAUCGUCAAAUUUGGGUAUAGGGGCGAAAGACUAAUCGAACCA